GCCGACUAUGACUAAAGCGAACAAGAUCGCAAGCCAUGUUUUCAUUGGCCAUGAGCGAAAGUCAGAGGUCUGACGAUAGACGAUGCCAGAUGACCGUCCGUGACCAUAAACAUGCCCUGACGAUCCGAUAGCGGGUAGCUUCAUUAACCGUCCUCCACGGGCAGCCUCCGGGGAAACCUUUAAGUUAUGGGUUCCGGGGGAAGUAUGGUUGCAACAGUGAAACUUAAGGAUUGACGGAAGGCACCACCAGGAGUGGCAGCCUGCGCGCUUAAUUUGACUCAACACGGGAAAAUCACCCGGGCCGGACACUGUGGUUGACAGUGAAAGCUCUUUCUUAUUUGGUGGAUUGGUGUGCAUGGCCGCUUCUUAUUGGGGACGCGACUUUCGUCUGUUAAUUCGUCAACUGACGCUCUUGCUAAUCUAGACGCCUUCCUUGUCCUUGGGGCGUUCACCCGCCUCAAUCUGGCCUAUAGCAUGCCGGCGCUGCACUUUGCGGGCCAGG
RNAcentral lists this ribosomal RNA (502 nucleotides) under Monobothrioides woodlandi. RNAcentral's name for it is "bacterial SSU rRNA". It matches the Rfam family "Eukaryotic small subunit ribosomal RNA", at positions 925 to 1485 of the family's 1831-position model. Lineage: Eukaryota; Metazoa; Platyhelminthes; Cestoda; Caryophyllidea; Caryophyllidae. The record is from RNAcentral.